RNAcentral lists this ribosomal RNA (402 nucleotides) under uncultured bacterium. RNAcentral describes it as "partial 16S ribosomal RNA". It matches the Rfam family "Archaeal small subunit ribosomal RNA", at positions 473 to 873 of the family's 1478-position model. The record is from RNAcentral.
ACACCGGCAGCUCAAGCGGUAGCCGCUUUUAUUGGGCCUAAAGCGUCCGUAGCCGGUCUGAUAAGUCUCUGGUGAAAUCCCACAGCUUAACUGUGGGAAUUGCUGGAGAUACUAUCAUGACUCGAGGUCGGGAGAGGCUGGAGGUACUCCCAGGGUAGGGGUGAAAUCCUGUAAUCCUGGGAGGACCACCUGUGGCGAAGGCGUCCAGCUGGAACGAACCUGACGGUGAGGGACGAAAGCCAGGGGCGCGAACCGGAUUAGAUACCCGGGUAGUCCUGGCCGUAAACGAUGUGGACUUGGUGUUGGGAUGGCUUCGAGCUGCCCCAGUGCCGAAGGGAAGCUGUUAAGUCCACCGCCUGGGAAGUACGGCCGCAAGGCUGAAACUUAAAGGAAUUGACGGGG